This is a non-coding RNA of Anolis sagrei ordinatus, 1073 nucleotides long. The record is from RefSeq and is a predicted model, not a curated record. NCBI's taxonomy places the organism in Eukaryota, Metazoa, Chordata, Lepidosauria, Squamata, Anolidae.
CACUUUCAAGUUUAAAGCAAAAUUAGCUGCAACUGCACAGGAUUAGAAUAAUGUUCUAUGGAUCACCCCCUUGGAAAGGGCACGGCAAUGUAAUAAUAUGCUAGACAAGAAUCUGAGCUAAGUACUGCAUAAGGAAUUACAUUUCUUUUUGCACAAUACAGCUGGUGUUACAGCUAGUUUGCUUUUAAAAUCUAUCUGAGUAUUUAAAGCAUCUAAUUACUCUCAAAGGUGUCAAAAUGCUUCCUAAUAAUUAUUAAGCUGAAUGAAGGUUUUAGGCUUAAGGGAAGCAAGGGAGAAAUAGAGAUCGAUGGCUUGGCUUCGGGUGGGAAUGAGGAGAUUUCAUGUGUUUAAAACUACGGAGCUUUCAGUCAUGGUAUCAGUGAAACUAUCAGCAGAAGUUUGUAGAAUACACAAGCAGUUCAAAAAAUUGGGAGAUCUACUCUGCAAAAGUACCUAGAUUGUCCAAAAGAAAAACAGGAUUUUGGUCUUCCACAAGCACGUCAAAGGAGAAAGAAGAGGGAUUCUCUACAGACGAAUGACUUCAUUCAACUUCUGAUGAUGCCGAAAAGGAGGUACCCCAUCAAUCCAUCUAGGAGACUGAAGUGGACAUGCAACAGUGCAUCAGUGCUGAGAUGAAAAAGACUAUGCUAGAGUAGGAAUAGUCAGACUGGCUGGAUCAGAGUUUUGGAUCAGAGUUUUCCCAGCUAAUAGAGGAGACUCUAUCAGAGCUCUUAGAGGAAGCUGAGGUCUCAAAGUUGUGGACAUCUUAACUCAAAGCACAAAAUGACCCAUAUAUGUGAGCCACGAAGAUCAUGAAGAAGAACCAAGGCUUUCUACAAGGCUGAGGCUGCUGACUGGAGGAACUCUGUUAGAAUUGGAAAAAGCUCUAAUGAAAUUUUGAAUAAGAGAAAAAGGACAAUGAUUGGUGUCUCCAGUUUCUAAGGUUGAGACUGUUGUGCAUGAACUCCAAAGUUCAUCUUUUGCUGUAGACCUAGACUUGAACAGAUGAUUCGUGUCCUUAACCAUUUUCAUAUGCAAAAUCUUUUUCAUCAAAUAGAUUAUUUUUAAUCCUC